GAAGACCGAACGCAGAUAAAAAAAUUCUGUUUUAAUAAUUUCUACUCACUUUCCAGAGAAACCGCUGCAAGGUUAGACACUUCAGACGGUACGCUUUCUAUUGUGGUACAAAACAGAAAAGCGAUGAAGGACAGUAGACAGUCCCUUUAAUUCUUCUGAACAAAUGUGCAUGAGACAUCUCUUCCAAGUGUUCUUUGUUAAGCUCAAGUGAAAACUAGCAGAGCCGUGCGUUAUGCAGAUGAACGCGACCCGGUUCCUGUGGAGCUCUCACCUCUGCUCGGUGCACCACUACCAGAACACGCCAUCAUUUGUCGUGGCCGGAGUUGUGGGAAUCCUGGUUAUCCUCUUUUAUGCUGGUGCUGGCACCAUCAUCACACCACUGAACACCGAACUAGUCCAACCCAAACGACUGUUAAGGCGACGAUCACGUUACGGCUCUGCAUCGCCUGGCAACUGCUCCCCACGAGCCGUGCGAUCGUGACGCGCAUUUUUGCAGUCUUCGCACUUGUUAUGCUGUCCCUGUUAUGCACACCCAGUGAUAUGUUAUGCUCAGUUAUUUAGGUUGUAUUUAUUGCUUUAUGUCGCCCCAUUUAUAGAUGCGCAUCUGCUCCAAGCAGGAUGAGAAGUUUUAGAUAGGGUAUAUAUACAUUAAGGUACACUCAAUGUGUUUACGGUAUGUUACUUUUUCUACUAGUUUUUAAUGUUGCACAAUGUGCCUGUUUUAUAGUUGCUUCUACACGCAUGUUGAAUGAAGAAUGUUUGAAAUCUAAUAAAUGUGUUGAAA
This is a long non-coding RNA of Rhipicephalus sanguineus (brown dog tick), 784 nucleotides long. RefSeq lists it as uncharacterized. The record is from RefSeq and is a predicted model, not a curated record. The transcript is spliced from 2 exons. NCBI's taxonomy places the organism in Eukaryota, Metazoa, Arthropoda, Arachnida, Ixodida, Ixodidae.